This 468-nucleotide ribosomal RNA is filed under the name uncultured bacterium. Its description in RNAcentral is "partial 16S ribosomal RNA". It matches the Rfam family "Bacterial small subunit ribosomal RNA", at positions 28 to 507 of the family's 1533-position model. The record is from RNAcentral.
GACGAACGCUGGCGGCGUGCUUAACACAUGCAAGUCGAACGGAAAUGCUCUGCUUUUGUGGGGUGCUCGAGUGGCGAACGGGUGAGUAACACGUGAGUAACCUGCCCUUGACUUUGGGAUAACUUCAGGAAACUGGGGCUAAUACCGGAUAGGAGCUCCUGCUGCAUGGUGGGGGUUGGAAAGUUUCGGCGGUUGGGGAUGGACUCGCGGCUUAUCAGCUUGUUGGUGGGGUAGUGGCUUACCAAGGCUUUGACGGGUAGCCGGCCUGAGAGGGUGACCGGCCACAUUGGGACUGAGAUACGGCCCAGACUCCUACGGGAGGCAGCAGUGGGGAAUAUUGCACAAUGGGCGGAAGCCUGAUGCAGCAACGCCGCGUGUGGGAUGACGGCCUUCGGGUUGUAAACCGCUUUCGCCUGUGACGAAGCGUGAGUGACGGUAAUGGGUAAAGAAGCACCGGCUAACUACGUG